GACGAACGCUGGCGGCGUGCUUAACACAUGCAAGUCGAACGGAAAGGCCCUGCUUUUGUGGGGUGCUCGAGUGGCGAAAGGGUGAGUAACACGUGAGUAACCUGCCCUUGACUUUGGGAUAACUUCAGGAAACUGGGGCUAAUACCGGAUAGGAGCUCCUGCUGCAUGGGGGGGGGUGGGAAGUUUCGGCGGUUGGGGAUGGACUCGCGGCUUAUCAGCUUGUUGGUGGGGUAGUGGCUUACCAAGGCUUUGACGGGUAGCCGGCCUGAGAGGGUGACCGGCCACAUUGGGACUGAGAUACGGCCCAGACUCCUACGGGAGGCAGCAGUGGGGAAUAUUGCACAAUGGGCGGAAGCCUGAUGCAGCAACGCCGCGUGCGGGAUGACGGCCGUCGGGUUGUAAACCGCUUUCGCCUGUGACGAAGCGUGAGUGACGGUAAUGGGUAAAGAAGCACCGGCUAACUACGUG
This 468-nucleotide ribosomal RNA is filed under the name uncultured bacterium. RNAcentral describes it as "partial 16S ribosomal RNA". It matches the Rfam family "Bacterial small subunit ribosomal RNA", at positions 28 to 507 of the family's 1533-position model. The record is from RNAcentral.